Molecule: ribosomal RNA, 429 nt
Filed under: Bacteroidota bacterium
Lineage: Bacteria; Pseudomonadati; Bacteroidota
Description: Bacteroidetes bacterium partial 16S ribosomal RNA
Rfam family: Bacterial small subunit ribosomal RNA
Source: RNAcentral
UAGGGAAUCUUCCGCAAUGGACGCAAGUCUGACGGAGCAACGCCGCGUGAGUGAAGAAGGAUUUCGGUUCGUAAAGCUCUGUUGUUAAGGAAGAACGAGUGUGAGAAUGGAAAGUUCAUACUGUGACGGUACUUAACCAGAAAGGGACGGCUAACUACGUGCCAGCAGCCGCGGUAAUACGUAGGUCCCGAGCGUUGUCCGGAUUUAUUGGGCGUAAAGCGAGCGCAGGCGGUUAGAUAAGUCUGAAGUUAAAGGCAGUGGCUCAACCAUUGUAGGCUUUGGAAACUGUUUAACUUGAGUGCAGAAGGGGAGAGUGGAAUUCCAUGUGUAGCGGUGAAAUGCGUAGAUAUAUGGAGGAACACCAGUGGCGAAGGCGACUCUCUGGUCUGUAACUGACGCUGAGGUUCGAAAGCGUGGGUAGCAAACAGG